UCGACGGGAUGCUCGGAAGGAGAUUUCGGUCAACGGAAUGAGCUAUCUAGUGGCGGACGGGUGAGUAACGCGUGAGGAACCUGCCUUUCAGUGGGGGACGACAGCUGGAAACGGCUGCUAAUACCGCAUGACAUAUCUGUGUCGCAUGGCAUGGAUAUCAAAGAUUUAUCGCUGAGAGAUGGCCUCGCGUCUGAUUAGCUAGUUGGUGAGGUAAAGGCCCACCAAGGCGACGAUCAGUAGCCGGACUGAGAGGUUGGCCGGCCACAUUGGGACUGAGAUACGGCCCAGACUCCUACGGGAGGCAGCAGUGGGGAAUAUUGGGCAAUGGGCGCAAGCCUGACCCAGCAACGCCGCGUGAAGGAAGAAGGCUUUCGGGUUGUAAACUUCUUUGACAGGGGAAGAGACGGAGACGGUACCCUGAAAACAAGCCACGGCUAACUACGUGCCAGCAGCCGCGGUAAUACGUAGGUGGCGAGCGUUGUCCGGAUUUACUGGGUGUAAAGGGCGUGCAGCCGGGAGUACAAGUCAGAUGUGAAAUCCCGCGGCUCAACCGCGGAACUGCAUUUGAAACUGUAUUUCUUGAGUACUGGAGAGGCAGACGGAAUUCCUAGUGUAGCGGUGAAAUGCGUAGAUAUUAGGAGGAACACCAGUGGCGAAGGCGGUCUGCUGGACAGCAACUGACGGUGAGGCGCGAAGCGUGGGGAGCAAACAGGAUUAGAUACCCUGGUAGUCCACGCUGUAAACGAUGGAUACUAGGUGUGCGGGGACUGACCCCCUGCGUG
Molecule: ribosomal RNA, 782 nt
Filed under: uncultured bacterium
Lineage: Bacteria
Description: bacterial SSU rRNA
Rfam family: Bacterial small subunit ribosomal RNA
Source: RNAcentral